Molecule: ribosomal RNA, 491 nt
Filed under: uncultured bacterium
Lineage: Bacteria
Description: partial 16S ribosomal RNA
Rfam family: Bacterial small subunit ribosomal RNA
Source: RNAcentral
AGUGAACGCUGGCGGUAGGCCUAACACAUGCCAGUCGAACGGCAGCACAGUAAGAGCUUGCUCUUACGGGUGGCGAGUGGCGGACGGGUGAGGAAUACAUCGGAAUCUACUUUUUCGUGGGGGAUAACGUAGGGAAACUUACGCUAAUACCGCAUACGACCUACGGGUGAAAGCAGGGGAUCUUCGGACCUUGCGCGAUUGAAUGAGCCGAUGUCGGAUUAGCUAGUUGGCGGGGUAAAGGCCCACCAAGGCGACGAUCCGUAGCUGGUCUGAGAGGAUGAUGGGCCAAACUGAAACUAGGACACGGUCCAGACUCCUAGGGGAGGAAGCAGUGGGAAAUAUUGGACAAUGGGGGCAAGCAUGAGCCAGACAUACCGCGUGGGUGAAGAAGGCCUUCGGGUUGUAAAGCCCUUUUGUUGGGAAAGAAAAGCAGCAGGUUAAUACCCCGCUGUUCUGACGGUACCAAAAGAAUAAGCACCGGCUAACUUCGU